GCUACCGCUAUUGGAGUUCGAUUAAGCCAUGCGAGUAGAAGAAUUUAGAUUCUUUGCGUACCGCUCAGUAACACGUGGGUAACCUGCCCUAUGCUGGGGAAUAACCUCGGGAAACUGAGAAUAAUGCCCCAUAGCCCACUACGCCUGGAACGGUGAGUGGGUCAAAGCUUCAGCGGCAUAGGAUGGGCCUGCGCCGUAUCAGGUUGUAGGGGGUGUAAAGUACCCUCUAGCCAUCAACGCGUACGGGUGUUGGGAGACAUUGCCCGGAGAUGGAUUCUGAGACACGAAUCCAGACCCUACGGGGUGCAGCAGGCGCGAAAACUUGGCAAUGCGAGCAAUCGUGACCAGGGAACUCCAAGUGCUUAGGGUAAGACCUAAGCUUUUCUUGACUCUUCAAAGGUCUUGGAAUAAGGGGUGGGUAAGGACGGUGCCAGCCGCCGCGGUAAUACCGGCGCCUCAAGUGGUAGUCGCUUUUAUUGGGCCUAAAACGUCCGUAGCCGGUCUGGUGCAUUCGUGGGUAAAUCAACCCGCUCAACGGGUUGAAUUCUGCGAGCACGGCCAGACUUGGGACCGGGAGAGGUGUGGGGUACUCUCAGGGUAGGGGUAAAAUCCUGUCAUCCUGAGAGGACCACCUGUUGCGAAGGCGCCACACUAGAACGGAUCCGACGGUCAGGGACGAAACCUAGGGGCACGAACCGGAUUAGAUACCCGGGUAGUCCUAGGUGUAAACGCUGUGGACUUGAUGUUGGGGGCGCUCCGAGCGCUUUCAGUGUCGAAGCGAAGGUGAUAAGUCCACUGCCUGGGGAGUACGGUCGCAAGGCUGAAACUUAAAGGAAUUGGCGGGGGAGCACUGCAACCUGAGGAUUGUGCGG
RNAcentral lists this ribosomal RNA (872 nucleotides) under uncultured marine archaeon AEGEAN_59. Its description in RNAcentral is "bacterial SSU rRNA". It matches the Rfam family "Archaeal small subunit ribosomal RNA", at positions 23 to 900 of the family's 1478-position model. Lineage: Archaea; Methanobacteriati; Methanobacteriota. The record is from RNAcentral.